Molecule: long non-coding RNA, 6013 nt
Filed under: Lactuca sativa (garden lettuce)
Lineage: Eukaryota; Viridiplantae; Streptophyta; Magnoliopsida; Asterales; Asteraceae
Description: long non-coding RNA (LSAT_LNC007348)
Source: RNAcentral
AUGGGCCUUCCCUUAAGCCCAAACAUAUUCUUAGCCCAAAAUAACUGAUUUUUGAUGGCCCACUAUGGCCCAAAAUAGCAAAGUCCAAGGAAUGGCCUAACCAGAGGCCCAAAUAACGAAAAACCCAAUCCAGUGAGUACGUGGGGCGUACUCCUCUGUACGCUAAGCAUACAGGCUGCAUGGCUUAUACGUUGCGCGUACGCGCUUGUACGCACAACGUACUACCCUGUUAAGCCAAAAUCUCAAAAAGAGCUUAACCCCUUAAGACCUAAAGCUCCAAACAUAUAUCCGAGUCCAAUAAAGUGUCUUAACACUUAAAGUUUACUUGGUGGCUUUCAUUCAUGAGGCAAGUUUUAAGCUUUUUGCCUCAAGUGAGUGCUAAAUGAUGAUGAUCUCUCAGAUCCUUAAGCUCAAGUGUGACAUCCCCAUUUUCACGGCCAGAAAAAACCGAUUUUGUUUAUGCUUUAUGAAAAUCAGAGUACCUCUCUUACAUUCAUUUACACUAGUGAUCUAUAUCUCCUUAAUCUCUCAGUGUAAUGUCACUUCAUAUCGACACCUGUGAUAUAAAUAAACUGAGCGGGUCAGGUUGGGAAACCUGGUCAGUACAUAGUGUUUUCAACCCACAAUAAUAUAAUUAUUAUGUUUAAACAAUCAAACAAUCAACCCAAUUACCCAUCCUCAUUAUCUUCUUUAGUCUUAAGGAUCUACCGUAAGAAUCAGCUAUUCCGCGUUCACUCAUUCCUAAGGAUCGUCCUAAGGAAUCGGCACGAAGUCCAUUGCUGCCACGGUUUACACAACGGGCACUAAGUCUGCAUAGUCGCCAGGGUUUAGGCAUCAAGUCUGCAUAUUCACCAGGGUUUAGGCAUCAAGUCUGCAUGAUCACCAGGGUUUAGGCAUCAAGUCUGCAUGAUCACCAGGGUUUAGAGUACACCGGGUGAACACAUAGUUCACAACACCUACAGGUUGCGAGUCUGCUAAUGUUCCACUGGACUGUCUAGAAUAGUCCAUGGUAGUCAUCCAUACUCUGCUGAAUGACGGGGCCAUCGUUUGGGAAAAGGCUUCUCACAUCGUCCACCUCUCACCCUCACCUCGUGGUCUAUAACACCUCUCAACUCAUCAUCCAACUCAUAUUCCAUCUAUUACAUCUACCCAUGUUUUACCCCAACAUUAUCGUAGAUAUAAAAUACAUAUACAGUUUAAAUCAUUUAAAACAUGUAUAAAAUCGUUCAUCUAGCAUAGACAGCAAGUACUCAGAUAAUAUGCACACAUAGCACGUAAUUUAUAUAAAAUACUUCAUAUCUAUGUGUAAGAUGAAAGUAACUAUGCACUCACCUGAUAAGUUGAUGACUCGGUACUCGGACAUCACUUUGUUACUGUUAAAACAAUUUCCCUCGAACAAAACCUACUAUCAUUACCACUAGAGUUUAGUCUAACGUUAACCGCGACUAAUUAAUAGUCUAGAUAAUAUUACUAUUGUAUAAGCAUUAAGAAACAAUCUUAUAUAACUCAUAAUAAUAUCCCAAAUACUCAUUAUAAUUUCCUAAUAACGUUACUAUAUUAAAACAUAAGCUAUACAAAAGAUAGGGUAGGCAUAGCUCACUUACAACGGGUUUUUCGCAAAACCGGGCUUCGCUGGAGCAGUGUUUCCGAGCCAAAAGGCUCUUUUCUCGGGACUCUAGGAGCCUCGGUGCUUCCUUCGGGUGCUAGGGGGUUUACCUAGACUUUAGGGGGCUUAAGGGAUGCUAGAGAGAGAAAGUGAGGUUUGAAGGUGUGAGGAAGUGAGGGAACUCGGCACCUCUAUUUAUAGGAGUGCUGACUGAUGGACUCGCCGAGUAGGAGGACCUACUAGCCGAAUUGGGUCAUGUGGCAGCCUUCUGGUGGUGCCAUGUCACUCCCUAUCGCGUAUCAGCCUUCAAACUUAGAAAAAUCAUAACUCUUGCAUACGAGCUCUGUUUUUAACGUUCUUUAUAUCCACACGUAGGUAAAAACAUGAUCUACAACUUUCAUUUAAACUCUGUCGGCUAAAUCUCGACCGAUCUCAAAUUUAAUAGUAGGAGGAGUUUAGACUGCUAAAUGACCGCAAAGAAUUCGUAACUCCUUCAAACGAAAUCCGUUUUCGUCUAUAUUUUUACCGUUGAGCUCCUAUUAAUGAGAUCUUCAACUCUCAUUUAGGUCGUGUAAGCCAAAAACCGCUCGAACUAAAAAUCGAGUUUUGGGUCGUGUACUGCUAAGCCAAAUCUUAGAAAAUUCAUAACUUCCUCAUACGAAAUCAGAUUUGGGCAUUUUUUUAUGGGCGCUCUUGGUUUAAUGUAUUCUACGAAUUUCGUUUAGAUCGCUAAUCCUAAAUCUCGCUCUAUCGUAAAUUCACUAUUUACGCUUCCCGGUGCCGUCCUGGUUCCGUCGUGAAACUUCGACGGGUCAUAACUUCUUCGUUAUAACUCGGAUUUCGACGCUCUUUAUAUGUACGGAAACCUUGUGACAUAUUCUACAACUUGGUUAAGAUUAUUUAUCUAAAUAAUCNUUUUGUCGAAAAGUCGUUUUCGACCCCUUUUAUCUCUAAAUUGACUAGCCCAGAUCUACGUGCGUUACAAUUAUCUCCCCCUUAGGAUGAUUACGUCCCAGAAUCAUCAACGAAACAGGGCUCGUAUAAUGACUCCAUAUGUUAUAUAUUCAUCCUAGGUAAUAAUUAUAACUUCUAUAUUCCUUCGGAGCUAUCUCUUAGACUUAUUGACAACAAGCAGUACUCGAUCUCUCAGGUUAGACUCCAUAUUAUGACCUUCAAGUCACAAUCUCGAUCCUUACUAGAUACAAGCUUAAGAUAAGUUCUUUUAUUACUACAAUGGAACGAUGUGUCAUAUUCUAAUGACCUAUCAUCGUAUGUUGCAAUGCUUAGACUCAGGUCUUUUAGAGUCAAAUUCCAGAACAGGCUAUACCUUCCUUCAUGUUCUAAUCACAUCUUAAAAGGUAGUAUUUGUAGCUACAAGCAACCGUCGCGAUACCUCUACCGAUCACUUCGAUUAUCUUUUACUUCGAUCCUAUGGCUUAAUUCAGAUGUUACAUCGAACUUGGUUCUCUGAACCACGUAACAUACUCAUCGUAUUCGGACUCAAUUUGAUAUAACCACUACGGUCAGAAUAACAACAAUCUUCUUAGUAAUUACCGAAAUGAUGGUAACAACAUGUUUGAAUAAAAUGGACUCAAUUAUUGGCUUCUUGGUAACCUUGUGACUUUCCCUGAUCCAAGCGUGAGUCCUGUGCUUCCGGUAGUAUAUGCAUCUACUACCUUUCACACCUACUCAUACUCGCCCCAAGUAUUGUCUCGCAGUUUUCCAAGUCACCAUACAGGAAAGUCACAUAACAGUUUAACACAUCAGAUAACAAAACGAGGGCUUUAUUAUUUCUCGAAACUAUUACAUAAGUGUUCAAGUUCACCUUAGACUAUGCCUCUAAUAUGCUACAUCAUACGAUACUAUGGCUACUGCAUAACUUGAUCUUUGGAUAUGAAUUCCUCAUCCUUGGUUCCUCGCAUUGUUUUCUGCUUCGUCGAGGAUCAUGUGGAAUACCCUUGGCCUUGGCGGCAUGUUUGGCCUGGUUGUCUCGUUUUUCUUUGGGCAAUCCCUAGAAAUAUGCCCUUCUUUGUUAUAUCCAUAGCACACCUUCUUGUUGGACGCACACUUGCUGGCGUAAUGCCCUGUCUUUCCACAUUUAUAGCAAGUCACCUCCUCGCUACACUUCCCGAAGUGCUUCUUUUUACACUUUUCGCACCACUUGGCUUCACCUCCUCCUCCUUCUUUAGUCUUUGAGAAUUUCCUUUCUUUGUUGGAUUUUGAAGAUCCUUCAUGCUUCCUUUUCUCGCUAACUUCAGCUCUCUUUAGACCUUUUUCCCUAAUCUGGGUCACAACAUUCCUGGCUGCCCAGAUGGCGGCUUUCAAAGUGGCUGUUUGCUUAACCAUUGGACCAAAGUCCGCUGGUAAUCCAAGGGAAAAUUUGUUAACAUUGGAGAGUUUAGUUGGGACGUGGUGAGGAACAAACUUCAUUUUCUCAGUAAAACUUGCAGCGUAUUCAGUAACGCUCAUUCUUCCUUUCUUUAGAUUUUGGAACUCGUUGUUGAUCUCUAGAAGAUCCUGCUCAGAGCAAUAUUGCAUCUUCAACUGCACCAGAAAAUCCUCCCACGACAUCUUGCUUGCUUCACCUUUGGGCAUUGAAUCAGCUAGUAGCUUCCACCAGCUUAGUACUCCAGAUUUCAAUAGAGGAACCGCAAGAGCGGUCUUCUGCCUAUUGCUACACUCGCAACUCUUAAACAUCGUCUCCAUCUCAGAGAUCCAGUUCAUGACUUCCACCGGCGUCGGGCUUCCAGAUAGACUCGGUGGUUUGGACACCAUGAAAUCCUUGUAUUUGCAUCCACGUCCGUCAUUUCCUCCAUCUUGGUGGUUUUGCCUAACUAUCGGUGGGUUGGUCUGACCAAUAGUCCCACUGUAGUUUCCCUCCUCAGUCUGCCCUUCGUUCAACUCGGGCUGUUCGAUCUUUAUGGUCGCUUCCUCUCGAUUUUGCUGGAGAAAACGUCUGGUUUCCUCCAUUUGACGAUCCAACAUCGCCUGGAUCAUUGCUUGAACUCCGUCCAUUGUUAUUGGCUCAGCAUCGGCUACCACAACCGGUAUUUGCUCAAUCACUGGGGGUUGGUUUCGGUUCCCAUUUCAUUCACGUUUCCGCUACGGGUCCUUGCCAUCUUGAUCUAUACACCGAAUAAGGUGAAUCUAGAUCUUUAUUUAGGAUUGACGUUUAAAUCAUCCUUAUCACUCCGAACCGUUUAUAUGCUAGUUCUAAUAUCGUAUUCAUAUGUUUAGAAUCCUAAACACGUAAGGUUUCCAGAUCCGGUCGCUAACAGACCAUAGAUCCGAUCAAACUAUAGCAUAAAGCAUAACAAAUCAUUUAGCACAUAAAAGCAAUUUAGGCAUCAUUCCUAAAAUAAGCUAGUGCUUAUGUUUAUUGAGGUGUAUUACCAAAAUCUAUUAGACACACUCCUCACAAUCAUCACUUAGCAUUCUAAGUUUAAGUCUAGAAAUUUUGUACAAAUUCCUAGUUCGCUUAAAUUAAUGCUCUGAUACCAACUGUGACAUCCCCAUUUUCACGGCCAGAAAAGACCGAUUUUGUUUAUGCUUUAUGAAAAUCAGAGUACCUCUUUUAAUAAAAAUGUUGCGAACUUUAUUCCCAGAAAAACACGAUAAAUACAUUAUCAAAGCAUUUCCAAAGAAACGUAUUUUAUUCAUUUUAAAACAUUUGGGAUGUCAUCGUCAAUAGAAAAACAUAAGCAUAAACAGAACUUACAUUCAUUUACACUAGUGAUCUAUAUCUCCUUAAUCUCUCAGUGUAAUGUCACUUCAUAUCGACACCUGUGAUAUAAAUAAACUGAGUGGGUCAGGUUGGGAAACCUGGUGAGUACAUAGGGUUUUCAACCCACAAUAAUAUAAUUAUUAUGUAUAAACAAUCAAACAAUCAACCCAAUUACCCAUCCCCAUUAUCUUCUUUAGUCUUAAGGAUCUACCGUAAGAGUCAGCUAUUCCGCAUUCACUCAUUCCUAAGGAUCGUCCUAAGGAAUCGACAUGAAGUCCAUUGCUGCCACAGUUUACACAACGGGCACUAAGUCUGUAUAGUCGCCAGGGUUUAGGCAUCAAGUCUGCAUGAUCACCAGGGUUUAGGCAUCAAGUCUGCAUGAUCACCAGGGUUUAGAGUACACCGGGUGAACACAUCGUUCACAAUACCUACAGGUUGCGAGCCUGCUAGUGUUCCAUUGGACUAUCUAGAAUAGUCCAUGGUUGUCAUCCAUACUCUGCUGAAUGACGGGGCCAUCAUUUGGGAAAGGUUUCUCACAUCGUCUACCUCUCACCCUUACCUCGUGGUCUAUAACACCUCUCAACUCAUCAUCCAACUCAUAUUCCAUCUAUUACAUCUACCCAUGUUUUACCCCAACAUUAUCGUAGAUAUAAAAUACAUAUACAGUUUAAAUCAUUUAAAAC